RNAcentral lists this ribosomal RNA (237 nucleotides) under uncultured soil bacterium. RNAcentral's name for it is "partial 16S ribosomal RNA". It matches the Rfam family "Bacterial small subunit ribosomal RNA", at positions 26 to 264 of the family's 1533-position model. The record is from RNAcentral.
AGAUUGAACGCUGGCGGCAGGCCUAACACAUGCAAGUCGAGCGGUAGAGAGGUGCUUGCAUCUCUUGAGAGCGGCGGACGGGUGAGUAAUGCCUAGGAAUCUGCCUAGUGGUGGGGGAUAACGUUCGGAAACGGACGCUAAUACCGCAUACGUCCUACGGGAGAAAGCGGGGGACCUUCGGGCCUCGCGCCAUUAGAUGAGCCGUAGGUCGGAUUAGCUAGUUGGUGAGGUAAUGGC